CCCUUAGAUGUUCUGGGCCGCACGCGCGCUACACUGAUGCAUUCAACGAGUCUAAAACCUGCUCUGAUAGGGGUGGGUAAUCUUUUGAAUGUGCAUCGUGAUUGGGAUAGAUGAUUGCAAUUUUUCAUCUUCAACGAGGAAUGCCUAGUAAACGCAAGUCAUCAGCUUGCAUUGAUUACGUCCCUGCCCUUUGUACACACCGCCCGUCGCUCCUACCGAUUGAAUGAUCCGAUGAAUAUCAUGGGUUGAGGAUGCAAGUAGGUUAGCCUAUCUUCAUCUUCGAGAAGUGAAGUAAAUCUUAUCAUUUAGAGGAAGGAGAAGUCGUAACA
Molecule: ribosomal RNA, 329 nt
Filed under: uncultured eukaryote
Lineage: Eukaryota
Description: partial 18S ribosomal RNA
Rfam family: Eukaryotic small subunit ribosomal RNA
Source: RNAcentral